RNAcentral lists this ribosomal RNA (439 nucleotides) under uncultured bacterium. RNAcentral's name for it is "bacterial SSU rRNA". It matches the Rfam family "Bacterial small subunit ribosomal RNA", at positions 28 to 449 of the family's 1533-position model. The record is from RNAcentral.
GAUGAACGCUGGCGGCGUGCUUAACACAUGCAAGUCGAGCGAAGCACUAAAGCGGAUUUCUUCGGAUUGAAGGUUUAGUGACUGAGCGGCGGACGGGUGAGUAACGCGUGGGUAACCUGCCUCAUACAGGGGGAUAACAGUUGGAAACGGCUGCUAAUACCGCAUAAGCGCACAGUACCGCAUGGUACGGUGUGAAAAACUCCGGUGGUAUGAGAUGGACCCGCGUCUGAUUAGGUAGUUGGUGGGGUAACGGCCUACCAAGCCGACGAUCAGUAGCCGACCUGAGAGGGUGACCGGCCACAUUGGGACUGAGACACGGCCCAAACUCCUACGGGAGGCAGCAGUGGGGAAUAUUGCACAAUGGGGGAAACCCUGAUGCAGCGACGCCGCGUGAGCGAAGAAGUAUUUCGGUAUGUAAAGCUCUAUCAGCAGGGAAGAA